GAAAUGCGAUAAGUAAUGUGAAUUGCAGAAUUCAGUGAAUCAUCGAAUCUUUGAACGCACCUUGUGCUCCUUGGUAUUCCUUGGAGCAUGCCUGUUUGAGUAUCAUGAAAUCUUCAAAGUAAAUCUUUUGUUAACUCAAUUGGUUUCUACUUUGGUAUUGGAGGUCUUUGCAGCUCCACACCUGCUCCUCUUUGUUCAUUAGCUGGAUCUCAGUGUUAUGCUUGGUUCCACUCGGCGUGAUAAGUUAUCUAUCGCUGAGGACACUGUAAAAGGUGGCCAAGGUAAAUGCAGAUGAACCGCUUCUAAUAGUCCAUUGACUUGGACAAUACUUUUAUGAUCUGAUCUCAAAUCAGGUAGGACUACCCGCUGAACUUAAGC
Molecule: unclassified non-coding RNA, 378 nt
Filed under: plant metagenome
Description: partial contains 5.8S ribosomal RNA, internal transcribed spacer 2, and large subunit ribosomal RNA
Rfam family: 5.8S ribosomal RNA (bases 1-105)
Source: RNAcentral